GCCAAUGGGCUUGCCAUCUCGAAUGUUGUAGAUGUAGUUCAUAUGAGCAUGAAUUUUGGAGCUAAAAUUUGGUGCCAAGUUUUUGGGGAUUUUCGGCCAAAUCCAAUGGGUGAUUUUUUGGGUUCAUGUUUGUCUUGUUAAAAGUGUUUUCAGGUGACUUUUGGAACCCCUAAGUACCAUAGGAUGUUAACCCCAUUUUGAGUAGUGAAAAUUGAGUUUUAUUGCUUGAAAAUGUUCAUGGAACUCUUAUGGGUUUUCAUGGAUGUUCUUCAUUUUUCUUGAAGUUCUUACCAAGAACAAAAAGGUUUGAUGUUUUGAUUCAAAGUUUUGGAUGAUUUCAUAAAGUCUUUGUUUUGUGUUGGUGGGUGUGACUUAUCUAUCAACAAAACAUUUAUUGAAAUUUUGAAAGGUGAUAGAAAUGGUGAUGGGUGUGUAAGAAGUACUUCUCUUACACACACACCACUUCCAUGGCUUUAUGACUUUGUUGAAAAAAUUUCAAAAUUUUGUGGCUUCAAUCUCUCCAAAACCAGCCACCCUACAAGUGGGGUGCUUUUGGGGCUUUUAUGCAAUUACAUAAAGUUUUGGUACUUUUGUGUAAUUUGUAGUUUGACCCAAAAGUUUACGUAUUUACGUAAAGGCCCAAAAUCAUUAAAGGACAAAUUGUUUUGUUCCUUUAAUGAUGUUUUUCAAUUUGUUGAAUUUUUGGGUUCUAGUUGUAAUUACAUGAAGUAGUAGACUUUUGUGUUUUUACAAAAUGAGCUCAAAAGUUUAAGUUUUGCAACAUAGCCCAAAAGGUUGAGGUUAUUGCAUUUUGGCCCAAAUUAGGUUGAGAACAAAAUGGUUUUGUCUCUUUAAAUGAGAAUUG
RNAcentral lists this long non-coding RNA (865 nucleotides) under Malus domestica (apple). Its description in RNAcentral is "long non-coding RNA (MDOM_LNC005799)". The record is from RNAcentral. Lineage: Eukaryota; Viridiplantae; Streptophyta; Magnoliopsida; Rosales; Rosaceae.